UAUAGCUCAGUUGGUAGAGUGCUUGCCUUGCAUGCCGAAGGCUCUGGGUUCAAUCCCCAGUA
RNAcentral lists this transfer RNA (62 nucleotides) under Ictidomys tridecemlineatus (thirteen-lined ground squirrel). Its description in RNAcentral is "Spermophilus tridecemlineatus (thirteen-lined ground squirrel) tRNA". It matches the Rfam family "tRNA", at positions 6 to 65 of the family's 71-position model. Rfam says of the family: Transfer RNA (tRNA) molecules are approximately 80 nucleotides in length. Their secondary structure includes four short double-helical elements and three loops (D, anti-codon, and T loops). Further hydrogen bonds mediate the characteristic L-shaped molecular structure. tRNAs have two regions of fundamental functional importance: the anti-codon, which is responsible for specific mRNA codon recognition, and the 3' end, to which the tRNAs corresponding amino acid is attached (by aminoacyl-tRNA synthetases). tRNAs cope with the degeneracy of the genetic code in two manners: having more than one tRNA (with a specific anti-codon) for a particular amino acid; and 'wobble' base-pairing, i.e. permitting non-standard base-pairing at the 3rd anti-codon position. Lineage: Eukaryota; Metazoa; Chordata; Mammalia; Rodentia; Sciuridae. The record is from Rfam by way of RNAcentral.